Molecule: ribosomal RNA, 434 nt
Filed under: uncultured Lachnospiraceae bacterium
Lineage: Bacteria; Bacillati; Bacillota; Clostridia; Lachnospirales; Lachnospiraceae
Also listed under: 1 other name
Description: partial 16S ribosomal RNA
Rfam family: Bacterial small subunit ribosomal RNA
Source: RNAcentral
ACGGAAGGCAGCAGUGGGGAAUAUUGCACAAUGGGGGAAACCCUGAUGCAGCGACGCCGCGUGAGCGAAGAAGUAUUUCGGUAUGUAAAGCUCUAUCAGCAGGGAAGAAAAUGACGGUACCUGACUAAGAAGCUCCGGCUAAAUACGUGCCAGCAGCCGCGGUAAUACGUAUGGAGCAAGCGUUAUCCGGAUUUACUGGGUGUAAAGGGAGCGUAGACGGAACAGCAAGUCUGAUGUGAAAGGCAGGGGCUCAACUCCUGGACUGCAUUGGAAACUGUUGAUCUUGAGUGUCGGAGAGGUAAGCGGAAUUCCUAGUGUAGCGGUGAAAUGCGUAGAUAUUAGGAGGAACACCAGUGGCGAAGGCGGCUUACUGGACGAUAACUGACGUUGAGGCUCGAAAGCGUGGGGAGCAAACAGGAUUAGAUACCCUGGUA